Falco peregrinus (peregrine falcon) is the source of this 4922-nucleotide long non-coding RNA. RefSeq lists it as uncharacterized. Lineage: Eukaryota; Metazoa; Chordata; Aves; Falconiformes; Falconidae. The record is from RefSeq and is a predicted model, not a curated record. The transcript has 7 exons.
GUUGCAACAGCAAGACUAUAGCCUAUUAUAUGGGGUCACAUGUGAACAUAUAAAGAGACAUCUCUCCUCAAGAUUGAGAGCUCAGAAGGGAUCCUCGGGAAGCUGGUCUGUGAAGAUGUGACAAGGUGAUUUCAGAUGUAACAUCUGGGAUUUUAAAGCAUUUAAAUGAAGACUUUGGCUACAGCCUGUAUCUGCACAAGCAGAAAUGACAAGCCUUGUGACAGUGCCUCACCUUCACAAGGAAGUCAGCAGAGCUUCUGCCCACCUGGAGUUCAAGCCAAGUGAACAGAAAUAUGUCAGCAAAAACCCAGAGGGACAGUGUGCCCCCAGUCAAAGCGCUAGAUGGACUACAAACAGACGAAAAAGGACAACCUGCAGAAGCUUACAGUUCAGGAAAAGGCACGGCAGGCAAAUCUGCAACCACACUUUCCAGCAUGAAAAUACCAAGCCAUGUACCAGUGAACUGAGGUUCGGAGGUGUGCACAGCCCUAGACAGUCCUCAAAGCUCAUGGAACCUGCUGCGCACAUACCCCCAUGGACACAUCCACCUUUGUGGGGUGCCCAGAAAAGUGGCACAGGCACUGAAGUGAUGGAGAUAACUUGCAUGGAAUUCAAAAUACUGACCCUUUUUGCAAAAGCUGUAAGAUUUACUGAUGAAAAUCGCUCCCUAACAGUCUCUGCUCUCCUCUCGCCAGAAGUUGGUGCUCAUGCUACAACGGUGCCAAGCUGUCGGUGCAGCAAAAUGGAGAGAAGCAGGCUUGAGACGAGCAAACUCAGUCCGUUUGUGACUUUCUGUAGCAAACUCCUUCUCCUCUGGGCUGUAAGACAAAUGGUUUAAUAACCCAGAAUGCUGUGCUCUUUGCUUCAGCAAAGUUGAAUCUCUGCAUUCAGCCUUAUUCACAGGUAUCUCCAACAACCUCCCGGGAAAAUGUUGAACAAAGGAGAUCAUGGCUUGGAGGCCUGGGGCUGGCCUUGCUUUGUUUGCUUUUCAUUGUAAAGCUUAUCUUGCUGUGUCAUAUGGUUAAAAACUGGAGCCUUGCCUCCAAGAUAGCAGUGGGAAGGCAAGAAAAGCUUGUGCGCAUUUGUCUUCAGGUCAGUUUUAUAAAUGAGUGUACCGAUGCAGCCCCCAAAAAAAUGCAAGGGAGAAACUAUGAGCAAGAGAGAACAAGUCCUAACUUCUCUCCCAUCAUGUGGUUUUCUGGAAGUGAAAAAUCUGAACGGUGCUCUCAUGCUCUCUCACCAGAGAACUGGCUGCACUCCAAUAAUGAAGUGCUGGACUGGUACCUCUGCUGUGAGACAGCGAGCCCAGCCCUGGCUAGCCUGGCUGGACUGCAUUUGGAAAAUGAAACCAGGUCUUCGACACAGUUCCCACCUGCCCAGGAUCUUGGGAUGCCCUAGUAGUCCCAGGGACAGUAAGCCAAGCCUGUUAGAGAUAUCAAAUCAGAAUCGGGGGGCUGAGGGUGAGAAGUUCAGUGGAAAGAAGGCACCACAGCCCACAGGGUGCAAUGUCCAAGUGGGGUGCCAAAGGAGAGGGAAGAAGUUUUUGAAAUCAAGUAGGGCUCACCCAGUGUUCACCCACUACUUAGUAGCAGGAAACACAGAAAGAAUUCCUGCUGUGUCCCAGGAGAAUUCAGCUGAGGCCACAGCUUGCGCCUGAGCUGGCACACUGAUGGGCAGCAAUUGCUUCAGAUCUCUUUCGGCCAGGGCAGGUGGCACAUGCUGUGGCUCCGCUUGCUGCAGCUCCGCUCACAGGGUCACAGAGCACAGCGGUGUGGUGUCCAUCGCAGUGCUUUGCUGUGAAGCAUGGCAGCAUCUGCGUCUUCUUCAGCAAAGCGAGGAUUAAUUUUACCCAGCUUUACCCAUGUAAAAGUUUAGAUGUCUAAGCCAGUGAUUUAGCCUUCCUCUACAGGCUGUGAAGAGAAAGGGAGACAUCUCCAGAGGAUGAGUCACUUCUUCCUAUGUACAGUGUCUAAAGUGGGUGGGAUGACUCAUCCUCCAAAGGUAACAGUCUCUCUUUCUAUGGCUUAAAUGACUAGUGUCAACUGAAAACCUAACUUUUUGGUGGCAGAAAUUAGCCAUCUUCACUGUUACCUGCAUUCAUCUGAAGUUAUUUUCAAAACUCAGAGUGAGGUGAGAAGGCUUACUUCUCAGUAGAUGGCCCCUUCAAAGGACCAUUUUGUUCUUUCUCCUGGGAUCUGCACAUCUUUGCCCUUCAGAAAUGGUGCUUAAAUGGUUUGCUCAAGUUACAUGGAGUCAGAGAAACUAAAGCCUGUUGGAAACAUAAAGAGAAGUCACUUGACCCAUCCCCAAUGCACAGACAGAAAGCUGCCGUUAAGUUUUGUUAUCCUUAAUGUUUCCUCCUUUCAACAGUGCCUUCCAACAGUCAGUAAGAAAAUUUCAGUUGUCUUCAAUGGGCUUUCAUCCAAGCCUGCAGAGAGAGCAACAGAGAAAAUACAGCUGCAGAGGCAAAUCAACAGAGGGGAAAGGUAAUGACAUGAGAGAGGCAAAAAAUGUAAUUGUGAGAGGGGAGAGAGAGGGAAACAAAGAGAGGUGUUUUAAAGAUUGAGCAGUGGAGGAACACAGAGGCAAUGCUUAGCGGAGAGGAGAUCUGGGCAGGGGGAGAGGGACAAACCUGUACCCUUGAAAUACGCAUCUCUUCAGUGCUGCUGCAUCACUUCCAUUUGAAAAUGCCUAACUGCUCUUCAGUUUAAUCAUUGCUGCACUUUUGGGUAUAAGAUGAAUAAUUAAGCCUGGGAGUAGAAUACAGCAAGUGUUAAUAGGGCAGAAGCUACUGCAAAGUCCUUAUAAAAAGCUGUGCUUGCAGCACAAAGUGGCUGCUGUUCUCUGCGUCCCCAAUCACGAAGUGAGGAGCAUGAAAGUACUAAAUUAAAUGAAGUGCAUCUGUAUCCAUUCUCCUGGACUUUUUUUCCCCUGCGUUUGAUACUAUCGCUUGCUAAAUAAUACCCCAUCUCUAGCAAAGGAUGAACAAUGUAAUUUUAAAUUGCCCUUCCAAAUCAAACCAGGACAGACAACCUGCACAGCCCACCCUGCCGUGCCUACACCCACGGACUCUCACAAGCACAGCCUUCUCCCUUACCUAAGUUAAUGUUUAAAGAAACUAUCUGGUGCCUUAAAGAGACAACUCAGCCUGAAGUGGCAGUGUUACAGAGUUCAUCCUCUUUGAUGAGUUCAAGAUUGCUUCCUCUUGCUGUCAGAAGAUAAAAAAUGAAGAAAUAAACACCCACUUCAAACCAUGAGAGACAACAAUUACACAAUGGCCAAGAAGACACUGGGCCAGCUCCACUGUCCAAGCGCCUUGUGGUACCAGCUCGUGCGUACAGCAAGAGAAGGUGCAGCAAGGAAAGACUAUAAAUGGAAUAAGACACAGCUGUUAAUCCAGGUACAAAGCAAGUUAUUGUGGUUUGCUGCUCUGUAUGCUGUUUCGCCUCAAUCUGAAAUGCCUCUCUUUCCCUGAGCGUGCUUCUGCCUCAGCCUGCGGACCACCAGGACCACAAAACAGUAGCUCAAAAGAAAACAGGUCAUAUCUGAAUCACCCAAAACCUGUUCAGAGACAGUGUUGUUCAUUCCUGAGAGAUCAGACUGAGUGUCACGCUAAACAGCAAAUGCAAAAAUCCUCUUUCAGGUCUUCAUUUUCUGUAUGCACCCAAUUAAACAGUGCUAUAUAAACUAUUCAAAUUAGACUGGGAAGGAAGAAAGACAAAUAGUUAUUUUUAAGUACUUGGGAGAUGUUUGGAAAUGGGAGGUCAUAAAGGUAAAGAGGGAAGUCAAUAAAUAGAAAGGAGGAAAUUAUUUUUAACCAUUGCAGAUAAGGUAUUUUUAGAGCAAUCACCUGAAAGCUCCCUGAACGACACAGGAUGAUAAGCACUGCCCAACACAGCAGCAAUCAUGGGAGCUGAGUUACAGCCUGGCUCAAACCCUUGUUCCCUUGCUUCUUUCAAGUGAGUUUCAGUGAAAAGAUUUUUUUUCUUUUCCUUUUUUCCCCACCUCCUGUCCUCACUGCUAUCACUGAGGGUACCUCAGAGAAUCUGGCUCGUGUAUGGACAUCUGAGGAAAUUUUCAGUUAUUGCUAAGUGGGUAUUUCCCCCCCUCUUUGGUUUGUUUUUCAUCCUUUUCUUUUUGACUGGUGUCCUCUCACCUUUGCACUAAGUGGAAGAGAUGAAAAGCUGAGCCUCCACAGGCAAGCAUGUGUGAAAAGAAACCAGAGCUGAUGUCCAAAGGGACUGGAGGACCUUGGGGCCAGGGGGAUACAUCUCUGGCUGAAAAAUCAUCAAGGGAUGCCACACACAGGGCAGGGGUGCUGCCAGAGGAACAUCGCCCCUAUCCAUCCCUGCAAUGAACCUCCCUGCUGCAGGCAGCAGAUGCAGGCAGAGCUGCCUGGGGAGCCUGUGUGGGUUUUUCUGUGGGAGGACAGAGGGAUAUCACUGGAUUUUUAAGUUCACUUUUGGUCCUCACAGUCUGGGGAAAAUAGCUGUCUUGGAGCCAUCUUCCCAUCUGCUAUCUUAAGCUGAACGUCUUCCUGCAUCUUCCCGGUCAUUGACACCGAUGGUGCCUCUGCUGUCCAGAUUUUCCAGAGUGAGGGCAAUGAGAAGGAUCAAAGCAAAACAGAGAAGAUGUCAAAUGAUAAAUAUUUGACUUUGAAACAUGAAAAAGAAGAUGAAGAGCAGCAUCAAGGGAAUCAGUCUCUUGGGAUGUCCUGCAUUCUGAAUGCACAUUUUGUACUGCUAAGAUAGGAGUUGUGAAUGCAGUGUGUGGGUUUUACAAGAAAAUAGAAUCAGCCAGAAGAGAAGACCUCUGGGAAAUCACAGAAUGUGUGCAUGCUUUAUGGUUUGUAUAAAAUUAAAUGAUCUUUUUUUUCUUAGAGAUAUUGAUCCUUGUUCUUUUAUUAUUAUUAUUAUUUAUUU